Molecule: long non-coding RNA, 1566 nt
Organism: Oreochromis niloticus (Nile tilapia)
Lineage: Eukaryota; Metazoa; Chordata; Actinopteri; Cichliformes; Cichlidae
Exons: 4
Source: RefSeq, a predicted model, not a curated record
UCAUGUCAAAGAGGUGCAGGCUGGGAUUAAUCCUGUCCCAUUUUAUAAACUGUCAAAUUCCAAAAAAACUAACAAAAAAUAGAGUCGACUCGCAGCUGCACUAUGUGAAGGAGCUGAAAGGAGAUGGAGGUGAAAGGUAAACGCUAAGAAAAGCUGUUUCCAUGGCACCAAGGAGUAUGAUUUGUUUAUUUCCAGCCUCCGUCUUCAGUUUUGGAUAAAAGAUUAUAAUCUUAAGCGUCUUUGGAAGAUUCGUCAUUCCUCUCUAAAAGCAGUAAAUCCGCCUGUGCUCGAAUCUACAAAACUUGAGAAAAACAUCUUCGGUUUGCUUCCUGUCUUUGUUGUUUAUCGCCUCUGAGUACACCAUGGUCCAUUUCUAUCUCUGAGCUUAUGUCUGUUUUUCAUUCCUUUCCCUGUAAGGCUGGACAGAUCUGACGAGGAGUUCAACAGGAGGCAGGCUGCGCUAACUUCGCAGGGCUCGCAGGGGUCAAAAACUGUGCGCACUCCCCACACUCCAAGGCACCACAAUGACUUUAAAAAGACACUUAAUGCUAUCAGAAUAAAGUCUGAUUUAUUCCCAUUCUUUAAGCCGGAACGACAGCUUGGACCCAUUAAGUUUUAAUCAUCCCCAAAUCCUUUGUGAUUUAAAGGUGCAAUUAGAUUUUCAUAGUUUUUAAAGUCCCCUAGCACCAAGUAAAUGAUCACACGAUGUCUGCAGGCACCUGCCAGGGAUCAGAACCGGUGACUCAACGAGCCACUGAGCCAACUACUUGGACUUCUGGGCUCAGUUUGUCCCGAAAACAACAAAAAUCUCCUUCAACUGAAGCUUCACUCAUGUAGCUCUUAUUUAUAAGAACAUCUGUUGCCCAUUAACUGUUAACCCUUUGAAGCCUUUAUCCGUUUUUUUGUUUGUUUGUUUGUUUUUUUCAGUUUUCACACUGUUACAUGGAGAUCUAUGGCACAGCAUCAGGCUGAGCUAACCGAACCGUUUACUGUUCAGCUUUAGCUUUGGUACUACAGUUCCCAAGAUGCUUUGGCUAAGGCAGACAGGAAGUGUAAUGCUACCACAGAGUUUUUAGUAAUUGCUGGUUCCUCUUGUGUUCAUAUUUGUUUUCAUUUGGUUUUUAUCAGGAAGCACACACAAUGACGUUCAUCCCAUAGUGAAAAAGAUGCCAUAUACCAGAUUUAGCUGCUAGCUAAUUUACCUCUGCAGUCUGUGGGUACAUAGACCCGAUAUUAAAUGGGGCUAAUGAUCUUUUUUCUUUGGUGCCCAACUUUUAAACCCCCUACAAUCUACUCUUCCUUUGAUGCGGCAGAGUCUAAAAGUGUACAACUGAUAUAAAAAAGUGCCCACAGUCUGCAGCGGCGCUCCGGGACCGGACGGGUAUUCGGGAGUGACGGUGACGCGAGGAGCUGCUCCCUGCUGGUAAUUGAGAAGAAUGCAAGUUUAAGGUUUUCAGACCUGGAAGUGAGACUCUAACUGGCAGAGUCUUCUGCAUGGCCGUGAUGGGCUCACUGGGUGUCAGUCCCUUCAAGGCAAACAGAACGAUUUGGUACUCUGUAUCUGCC